GAUGAACGCUGGCGGCGUGCCUAAUACAUGCAAGUCGAGCGAACGGACGAGAAGCUUGCUUCUCUGAUGUUAGCGGCGGACGGGUGAGUAACACGUGGAUAACCUACCUAUAAGACUGGGAUAACUUCGGGAAACCGGAGCUAAUACCGGAUAAUAUUUUGAACCGCAUGGUUCAAAAGUGAAAGACGGUCUUGCUGUCACUUAUAGAUGGAUCCGCGCUGCAUUAGCUAGUUGGUAAGGUAACGGCUUACCAAGGCAACGAUGCAUAGCCGACCUGAGAGGGUGAUCGGCCACACUGGAACUGAGACACGGUCCAGACUCCUACGGGAGGCAGCAGUAGGGAAUCUUCCGCAAUGGGCGAAAGCCUGACGGAGCAACGCCGCGUGAGUGAUGAUGGUCUUCGGAUCGUAAAACUCUGUUAUUAGGGAAGAACAUAUGUGUAAGUAACUGUGCACAUCUUGACGGUACCUAAUCAGAGAGCCACGGCUAACUACGUGCCAGCAGCCGCGGUAAUACGUAGGUGGCAAGCGUUAUCCGGAAUUAUUGGGCGUAAAGCGCGCGUAGGCGGUUUUUUAAGUCUGAUGUGAAAGCCCACGGCUCAACCGUGGAGGGUCAUUGGAAACUGGAAAACUUGAGUGCAGAAGAGGAAAGUGGAAUUCCAUGUGUAGCGGUGAAAUGCGCAGAGAUAUGGAGGAACACCAGUGGCGAAGGCGACUUUCUGGUCUGUAACUGACGCUGAUGUGCGAAAGCGUGGGGAUCAAACAGGAUUAGAUACCCUGGUAGUCCACGCCGUAAACGAUGAGUGCUAAGUGUUAGGGGGUUUCCGCCCCUUAGUGCUGCAGCUAACGCAUUAAGCACUCCGCCUGGGGAGUACGACCGCAAGGUUGAAACUCAAAGGAAUUGACGGGGACCCGCACAAGCGGUGGAGCAUGUGGUUUAAUUCGAAGCAACGCGAAGAACCUUACCAAAUCUUGACAUCCUUUGACAACUCUAGAGAUAGAGCCUUCCCCUUCGGGGGACAAAGUGACAGGUGGUGCAUGGUUGUCGUCAGCUCGUGUCGUGAGAUGUUGGGUUAAGUCCCGCAACGAGCGCAACCCUUAAGCUUAGUUGCCAUCAUUAAGUUGGGCACUCUAAGUUGACUGCCGGUGACAAACCGGAGGAAGGUGGGGAUGACGUCAAAUCAUCAUGCCCCUUAUGAUUUGGGCUACACACGUGCUACAAUGGACAAUACAAAGGGCAGCGAAACCGCGAGGUCAAGCAAAUCCCAUAAAGUUGUUCUCAGUUCGGAUUGUAGUCUGCAACUCGACUACAUGAAGCUGGAAUCGCUAGUAAUCGUAGAUCAGCAUGCUACGGUGAAUACGUUCCCGGGUCU
This 1372-nucleotide ribosomal RNA is filed under the name uncultured bacterium. RNAcentral's name for it is "bacterial SSU rRNA". It matches the Rfam family "Bacterial small subunit ribosomal RNA", at positions 28 to 1381 of the family's 1533-position model. The record is from RNAcentral.